AUCCGGGGCGGGUCCUGUCAUUGUGAGCCCCGGAAAAAUGUGUCGAGCUUAUUCCAUGAUCUCGAUAAUCAUCUAAGUGCUCGAGGAAAUUUUCAGAAAUUUUUACAAAGUGAAAUCCUUGAUUUAAGAGUUGGACUAUAAAGUCUAUGAUAUGGCGAGUUUGUGGAAAUUUUCGGGGAAUUUUCUGGGUAUCCGAGCUAUUUAUAGCUAUUUUCCGAAGUUGUGGAAUUUUAGAAAUUAAAUCAAGAAAUAGAAAAUAGGUGGAGAAUUCCCAGCCAUCCAUCAUUCCAUCGAUUGAUCACAACCGUUGGAUUUUAAAAGAGGAGGCUUAUAUAGCUGCUGGACCAGUUCAGGUGAUCUGGGAGACGCGCGAGAGAGAUAGCGAGCUGGGAGUUCCUAGACCCGGACGCCACCGCGACGCAAGAAGGAAACCCGACCAGAGGGACGCCUUCCGGCCACCCCACGACGGCGCGCGGCCACCAACAGCUUUGUAUUGUCAUCGCCGUCACGCCUGUAGCCUUUGAUUGCCCAUGCACUGGACGAGGAGGGAGACUCGACGGUGAGAAGCAGCAACUGCUCCGACGAGUUUCUGCAAUUUCCAGCCAACGCUUGGGCCGCAUUCGACAAGGUAUUUAGCAGCUGGCUAGGUAGAUCAUGUCGACAGCCUCAGUUCAUCACCAACCCAGUUUCGACAGUGAGCUCGGGGAGCUGAGUUUGGGUUGGUUCAAGGGAUUUCCUAUUUCGAAGGAUUUCCAGUUACCCGAGGAACGGAAGGUUCGUGAAUUUCGGACAACGUAAAAGGUUAAAGCAUCAGAAUCCAGGUAGGGGACUCGGGACUCAUUCGGUUAGUUGUUUUCUGUUUUGAAUUAAAUGUUUAUGCAUAUUUGAGUUGCAUGGUUUGGUUAUUGAUGGCUUGAGAGUGAGUGGAACAUAGCGAUUCCUUGGGCUUCGAUCCCCUAAAUCUCUGGAGGGGCCAUAUGGACGUAAUGGUGUCUAACAUCCUUUGAGGUGUGACACUAUUUCUAGGUGAUAUGGCGUAAGUGGACACUCUCACUACACUUACCUGGUGAUGAUUUUAUUUGAGGUAAGGCCGUGUAGUUGGUCCAUGGGACUGGCCAUCAAGUAUUAUGCAUUUCUUUGAGUUUUGUGCAUUGGAUUUUGAGUCCGAGAGAUAUUUAAAGUUUGUCGUUCUUUAAAGAAAUGAUUUCACUUUUUCAUACUGGGAUCCCAAAUUAUUAUCUUAUGUGUCGGUUUUCAAACAUAGUCUGUGAAGCCCCUAUUGAGUAGUGAGGACGA
Long non-coding RNA from Rosa chinensis, 1296 nucleotides. RefSeq lists it as uncharacterized. The record is from RefSeq and is a predicted model, not a curated record. NCBI's taxonomy places the organism in Eukaryota, Viridiplantae, Streptophyta, Magnoliopsida, Rosales, Rosaceae. The transcript has 3 exons.